GACGAACGCUGGCGGCGUGCCUAAUACAUGCAAGUCGAGCGAACUUUAAGAGUGCUUGCACACUUAAAGUUAGCGGCGAACGGGUGAGUAACACGUAAAGAACCUACCUUAUAGACAGGGACAACUAUUGGAAACGAUAGCUAAUACCUGAUAAGAAAGAAACUCGCAUGAGAGAAAAUCGAAAGUCGGAGCAAUCUGAUACUAUAAGAUGGCUUUGCGGUGCAUUAGCUAGUUGGUAGGGUAAAAGCCUACCAAGGCGACGAUGCAUAGCCGACCUGAGAGGGUGACCGGCCACAUUGGGACUGAGACACGGCCCAGACUCCUACGGGAGGCAGCAGUAGGGAAUCUUCCGCAAUGGACGAAAGUCUGACGGAGCAACGCCGCGUGAGUGGAGAAGGAUUUCGGUUCGUAAAACUCUGUUGUUAGGGAAGAAAAAAUGUAUAGUAACUAUAUACAAAAGAGACGGUACCUAACCAGAAAGCCACGGCUAACUACGUGCCAGCAGCCGCGGUAAUACGUAGGUGGCAAGCGUUGUCCGGAAUUAUUGGGCGUAAAGCGCGCGCAGGUGGUUAGAAAGUCUGAUGUGAAAGCCCACGGCUCAACCGUGGAGGGUCAUUGGAAACUAAUAAACUUGAGUGCAGGAGAGAAAAGUGGAAUUCCUAGUGUAGCGGUGAAAUGCGUAGAGAUUAGGAGGAACACCGGUGGCGAAAGCGGCUUUUUGGCCUGCAACUGACACUGAGGCGCGAAAGCGUGGGGAGCAAACAGG
This 766-nucleotide ribosomal RNA is filed under the name uncultured Gemella sp. RNAcentral's name for it is "bacterial SSU rRNA". It matches the Rfam family "Bacterial small subunit ribosomal RNA", at positions 28 to 776 of the family's 1533-position model. The record is from RNAcentral. Lineage: Bacteria; Bacillati; Bacillota; Bacilli; Caryophanales; Gemellaceae.